UUAAAUUGAAGAGUUUGAUCAUGGCUCAGAUUGAACGCUGGCGGCAGGCCUAACACAUGCAAGUCGAGCGGUAGCA
This 76-nucleotide ribosomal RNA is filed under the name Klebsiella pneumoniae. RNAcentral's name for it is "partial 16S ribosomal RNA". It matches the Rfam family "Bacterial small subunit ribosomal RNA", at positions 1 to 74 of the family's 1533-position model. The record is from RNAcentral. Lineage: Bacteria; Pseudomonadati; Pseudomonadota; Gammaproteobacteria; Enterobacterales; Enterobacteriaceae. RNAcentral also lists the same sequence under 1 other name.